UUUUCUUUUGUUCAGUUGAAGCAUUUCUGAGCUUGGUUGUGUAAUCCUGGAAAAAAAAUAAUAAAGUUAAUAUAAAAAAAUAGUUUGGGAUACAAUUUAAUAAGUUAAAUUGGUGACAAUAAACCAAAAAAUGGAAUACUCACAAUGAUUCCACAAUUAGAUCAAGUGAUACUUCAUCUAAUCCAUAAUGAGAUUCAGUAGCAAUUGUAGUUGUAUCAGUUACUUCUUCAGUUAUUUCAACAACCCCACUAAUACAUAAGAAACCUAAAAUCAAACGUAAUUGUGAAGUCAAAAUUAAAAAUGAAAAGUGCGAAACCACAGGGGAGUUUUUGAAGUUUCCCCUAAUAUAUAACUGGGUACAGGAGUAAAAAAAUAAUGUUAAAAAGGAAGUGUAUAUUGAUCAACAUCCAUUCCCUCAAGCAGUGAAGCAACAUAUAUGCUUUUACUAAUCUACAAAUACAGAGUCAGAUCUAAGAAUUUUUUUCCAUAGUUCAUAGAUACAUAUAUAUACACACACGCACACAUAUAUGCUUCUAGUAAUUUAUAAAUAAAGAUUUAGAUAUACCAAGUAUUUUCCUUAGUUCACACACACACACACACACACACACACACACACACACACAUAUAUAUAUAUAUAUAUAUAUAUAUAUAUAUAUAUAUACACAACAAUAAAAACAUAGAUAACAAUAAAAAUAUAGACAACAUAAAGAAUACAAAAAACAUCUAAAACGUAGGGAGCCUCAGAUAUUAUUUCCAUCCAACCUUAAAAUAUAGGUUGAGGAAGGGACAGCGAACACUAUGAGUUGGUUGCCUAGUAAGUAGGUAGUCUAAACCACCUUCUUCUUCUUUUUUUCAUUCUCUCCAUCCACACUGCUGCAAAAGAAAAUAGUAAGCAAGGUAAGAGAUUUGAUUCAUCUUAAGAUAUAGGUCGAGGAAAGUACAAUGAUCACCAAGAGUCACUUGAAAGUGAAUACUAAGAACAAUCAAAGAAUCACAACAGCCAGAAAAUAAAUGGAAAUUUUAUGGCAAUGCUUUCGAUCCUAUCGCCACCCUUUAUUGUUCUUGAUUAUUUAUGAAUAUUUUUAAGGGUUUUUUUUCUUCUGGUGUUUGUUUAUUCAGUUUUUUCAUUUUCUAACAGCAAGAACAGAACUGUCUAUGUUUAUCAUUGAUCAUCAAUAAGAUUUGGUCAAAAUAAUAUUUUCUCAACAAUAAGUUGUGUUUAUAUCAAAUGUUUCAUUGAUUUGACUCAACACAUCUUCAAUUAGUUUGAGGGGGGAUAAUGGUCGCCAAGAGUUGGUUCCCUCGAAAUUAGACUAUCCAAAAAAAACAUUUCUCAUUUUUUCCACCCUCACUGCCUCAAAAAACAACAAAGGAAGUCCAGUCUACACAAUCAGAGAAAAGACAACAAAAGCAAAAUCAGAAAGUAAGUCCAAACCAUACAAUCAGAGAAAAACCUUAAGAUAUAGAUUGUGGAGGAUACAACGAAAACCAAGAGUUGAUCGCCUAGAAACCAGACCCUCCAAACCGCAUGUCUCUUUUUUUAAAUAUCAUGACAGCUUUCCCCCAAAAGGAAAAAAAAAAGGAAGGGAAAAAGAUCGAUUAUCGAUUAUAUAUUACUGUUUCUAAAUGAACUACCUAUGACAAAGAAGGUUUUUUCUCUAAUAUAUAUCAGAAAAUGAUGUAGUGUUUACCUGAAAUUUAUACAAGCAAAUGUAGCUUUAUGGAAACAUCUGUAACAAUAAGGUGCACGAAGCAGAAUAACUAUAAGCUCAAAAUAACUUGUUUAAACAGAAAUAUAUAGCUCGUGCACUAUGUUAAAGGACUUCAAAGACUAAUGGUAAAUAUUAUAAGAUCUUAAUGAGAAUAUAUUUAAUAGCGAAAUAAAGUUAUUAGAACAAUAUGGCUACCAUUUUAUAUAAUAUCAUAAAAAAAAGUGUCGACAAAAGUCAUACACCAGCUAAAACAUGAUUAAUAAAGUUGUAUGACAAUUAUUUACCAUUCUUAGGAAAAUUAGAUAAAGAAAAACAUAGCACUAUCAAAUUCAACAUAAAAUCAACAAAUUCAUGUAUGCGAAAAAGAAAAGCAGAAAAAUAACUAACAAUUAAUGUCCCAGGGUUAAAAUUGGAAUUACAUUAGCUAUAUAAUAUUUUCAAACGUGUUCAAAUUGAGUUUUAUUUCUUAUCGAAACCUAAUCUAAGAACAUCAUAAAGUACAGAAGGAAUAUACACCAAAACAUUACGAAAUUAUCAACAAAUAAAUAAAAGGAUAAUCAGGAAGGUCUCCAAAUAAACAUUUGUCCUUGUUUACUUAUGAAUAUUUUUAAGGUAUCAUUGUGCUUAUCUUCAUAAUUCUUGCGCAGAAUACAACAAAAAGCAAGAGCUAGAUGCCUAGAGACCAAACCAUCCAAACCUCAUGUCUCUUUUUUUAUAUAUCAUCAUAGCCUCCCAAAAAAAUAAAAAAGAAUAAGGAAAAAGGAGAACACAGCAGCAAGAAGGGUGCUAAAAGAGGUCCCAAUCCAAACAUCCAAAAAAUCCACAUAAAACACAACCAAUUAUAAUAACAAUCUCCUAAAAAGCAACCAAAAACAAUAAAGCGUACCCUAAACCAAUAUUAGAACAAACCAACAUAAAAAAAUGCAUACUUUUCCAAACCAUUCACCGGAAACAGACCCAAUAACAAAAAACCACUUAGAUACGUCUAUUAUACUAUACGGCAACUGGGCGGACAUUAAAUGUGGUCCAUGCCAAAUUACGCAAACCUUUUAAUUAGUCUUCAGAAUUCGAACCAAAUCUCUCCAGCUAUUCGUCAACCCCAAUAUUUGCUAUUUGAUUUUUCAAAAAUAAAUAUUUGAAGCUAUAUUAGGAAGAAAACACGGUAGCAAUGAGAAUAAUGGUGCAACAACACGUCAAACAGUGCAAUACGCAUCUCAUACCAGUGCAAUCCUUCCGCUCACAGUGCAACGCGGUGUCAACCAGUGCAAUAUGCCACUCCCCCAUCAGUCAAUCUUCUUCCGCUUUGUCGACCACCCCCUCUCCGGCCCAUAGGAUGAUGAGGGGUUUAAAAAUAGAAUAAGCAGCACGGGAUAUCAGAGAGUGGGUGGUUGGUAGAAUAGUAUAAUCUAAGGGGUGGAAUUGGUCAAAGCGAUAGGGAUAGAUCUAAUGGUGGAAAACUUAUACACACCACGUGCUUGGUGAUUUUAAAGCAUGAUAGCCAGACUAUAUAUAUAUAGUUAGGUUGAAAUGCUUCUAAUAGCACCAAAUCAUUAAUGCUAUUACGUUUUCGGCCCUUAAAUAAAAUAAUGUGCAAUUAAGAUGAUAGUGGUCCCUUAAGGUUGAGCGGAUGAUUGGUUGAAUAGUUUGAUCUAAUGAAUAAAAAUGGUCAAAAUGGUAGAUCUAAUGGCAGAAAACUAAAAUAGAAGGUUGCAGAAGACUUGGCAAUCCAAAGGAGAAAGAAAAAACGACACAAAAUGAGAACCCCAAAAUGUAAAAAAAAAUGUACAAAAAAAAAGGAGAGGUUCAGGAAGCGAGAUGAGGCUUCUGCAAAAAACACAGUUUUAAAAGGCAGCGAAACAGGAUCAAUAAAAAAAAAAUUACCGAACAAAGACCAGCAAGUGAUUGCCUCGAAACAGGCCGUCCAACCUGCUGCUAGCAUCAGUUAGUCAGUCCAAUGCGUGCAUCCAACCAACAGGUGGUUGCCUCUGAACAGGCCAUCCAAACCGCUGCUGGCUUUGGAUAGUUGGAACAAUACAGUUAAUUAAGAUUUUGUGUCAGAACACAAAAAAGGCAUUUAAAAUUAUACGCCAAAGCAAGUAAUUAAGAUUUUGUGCCUAUUUCGAAAAAGUAACUAAAUAAGUAACAACAAUACAAAACCUGUGACGAAAUAAGUACAGGAUGACAUAUAUAAAAGUGAAAAGUUUUAACAAAGAAGCAGAAGAUGUACACAUAUAUGGUCAGAUGCACACACAAACGCAGCACAAAUAGUAUCACACACACAUGUGCAUUAGUACGAAGAAAAAAUUAAGUACCAGAUGAUGUAACUAUAUAAUGGGAGAAGCUUACAAAGUUGACUAAAUACCCAAAAAGUGCCAGAUUAUGUAACCAAGUAAUAGGAUCCAAGCUUAAUAUUAAUCUACAAAUUCCUGUAAACUCAUACAAUUAUGGUAAAUAUGAAUAAGUGAUUUUGUUGCCCUAAACGAUACCUAACCAUAUAGACUACAUUAGUAUAAAAAACCUCACAAUUCUAACUGUCCUAAUCCAAUAAUUACUUAUUUGUAGGAUCAAAAUGGAGUGCCAUUAAUAGUGUAGCUCAUUUGGUUUCCAAUUAAUGUAGGAUUGCACAACUUUUGCAAGCCACGCCAUCCUUCAAACAUUGAUAGGAACCGUCAUCAUCACCGGCACCAAGUUCACAUAAAGUUUGUUCAAGUAAUAUUCAAGUCCAGGAGUACUUGAUAACAUUCUAAUUAUGAGAAGCGUCGGCAAAGACAUAAAUGAUGGAUUAGUUAUGUUUAUCCAAAGUUCACAUAAAAUUUGUUCAAGCAACAUUCAAGUUCUCAUCGUCAGUCACUAUAGUAUUGAUCACCACACAUAUUAUUGUAUUGGAAAGUGACAAGCAACAAAGAGCACAUAGAAUACAAAUUAAGACUCUUAAAAAUAUAUGAACAUCACAAACAUAUAUAGUAUUCAUUGUGUACCAAAAUAACGAUCUUAUUGAUACCUGAGGGUACUUGCAACAUGUAAAGUCCCUGCCACAGUUAUUUAGCACUGUUUCAAAAAACUUUAACAAAAGCUAGUUGACUAAACUAUCUUGCCUAAUUUAAUAUUGCAUAUAAGAACUUGAACUUUGGUAUAGACAAUACCUCACCUAUAUAAUGUAGAUGAUCUAGUAUUAGAUAUAUAGAAAA
This 4900-nucleotide long non-coding RNA is filed under the name Ananas comosus (pineapple). RNAcentral describes it as "long non-coding RNA (ACOM_LNC005271)". Lineage: Eukaryota; Viridiplantae; Streptophyta; Magnoliopsida; Poales; Bromeliaceae. The record is from RNAcentral.